AUUUCUGUGCCACAGAGUAAUGACAUUUAAUCAGGAAUAUUACUACACUCUUUCAGUGACAGCUGAGACACAAAACCAGCCAGCUGAUGCAAUCCUGUCCCACCGCUGGGGGCAUAUAAACAGCCCCACAAACAAGAAAGCAGUCUUACCUCCUCUAUAGCAUCAGAGGAUUCUUUAAGGAAAUAAGGCCUGCAGACACUGAAACUGGAAUCACCUAGCCUCCUUCAGCCUUCUAGAACCAUCUAAUAGUUUCUAAGAAUCUUUCCAGCCACGGGAGGAUUAAGGAAGAGACUGUUCUAGAACCUGAGAACAAUGAGAGUGUAGUCACCAGGUGUGAGGCAACAUAAAGCCUGCAGAAUACAACUGCUACAGCUCCUGUUUGGGUAGAUCGAUGGCCUAUAAUUACCUGGGAAUUACUUGGACACAAAUCAAUGGUGUAUUACGUCCCAUUCAUAAUGAGCAUGGUAACUUUUGCCUAGUCUGGGAACAUCAUGAUACAGUUUUCCCAGCUGCUUACUCUUCCUUCGGCUGUCUGCUCAAAUUGCAUGCAGUCCAACUAAGAAAGGCUGGGGACAGGGGAGAGGGACUUCAGGAAUCAGGGUGUGCAAUCCCACUCUAAAACUGCUUUUAUUGCAGACAUUGCAAGGUCUUCACUCAACCCUGAUCUGGACCAAGAUUGACAUCUCUGAGAUAAAAGGCUCCGGGUUCCAUUAGAUGUCAUCUGCUUGGCUGGCCUACUCCUUAGGCCACGCCCCAUGGGAUCUAGCCACGUUUUGAUGACAUCCAUCAAGUUCAGGAUUCCAGCUCAACAGUUUGCAGCAAUUUCUCUAUCUUGUAAUUCUCAUGGAAAGUGAGGGUUGGGGGUGGGGAGGAAAAGAAGAAGACAGGCAAGGGGUAGGGAGGAUUGCUUCACACAUCUGAUCAAACACUCAGCGCCCAGCCCUAUCACUCAGCUGCCACCAACACACCACUCUACUCUAUAAUACUUCUUAAAAAUAAAGGAACAGAGCCAGAGCCCUGCUGGAUCUCCCUUAGCAACCUGACAGGAGCCCACAAGGUCAGCUAGCAGGAAGCGGAGAAAAUUAUACAGUGGGGAAUUAUCAGCUAAAUUAUUUCACUGUACGCAGGACUUUUACUGUUCUUCCCAAGACGGUGGCUUCUUGCUACCCAGAUUACAAGUAUGAAUCAAAGGACAAGAAUGACAAAAGGAGGGAAGCAGAAAGAUUACUCUGAAGAACUACAGGUAUCAUCGGCACUCAGGCAUCAUCAGAAAUGUCGAAUCUCAAGCAGAGAGUCCUGACACCAAUUCUAUUAACCAAAACUGGAACGUGUGUUUACUGGCUGCUGCCUCCUGUGAAUUCACACCAUGCGCUUGAAGACAAUGGAACAUAUUAAAGGCAUCUGUUUGUGUAGCAUCUCAAAAAAAGGUAUCACGUCAGAGACUGCAGUCCAUCAUUAAAGAAUCUGUGAUGAAAA
Molecule: small RNA, 1476 nt
Filed under: Rattus norvegicus (Norway rat)
Lineage: Eukaryota; Metazoa; Chordata; Mammalia; Rodentia; Muridae
Description: uncharacterized LOC102549314
Source: RNAcentral